RNAcentral lists this transfer RNA (71 nucleotides) under Camelus bactrianus (Bactrian camel). It matches the Rfam family "tRNA". Rfam says of the family: Transfer RNA (tRNA) molecules are approximately 80 nucleotides in length. Their secondary structure includes four short double-helical elements and three loops (D, anti-codon, and T loops). Further hydrogen bonds mediate the characteristic L-shaped molecular structure. tRNAs have two regions of fundamental functional importance: the anti-codon, which is responsible for specific mRNA codon recognition, and the 3' end, to which the tRNAs corresponding amino acid is attached (by aminoacyl-tRNA synthetases). tRNAs cope with the degeneracy of the genetic code in two manners: having more than one tRNA (with a specific anti-codon) for a particular amino acid; and 'wobble' base-pairing, i.e. permitting non-standard base-pairing at the 3rd anti-codon position. The record is from Rfam by way of RNAcentral. Lineage: Eukaryota; Metazoa; Chordata; Mammalia; Artiodactyla; Camelidae. RNAcentral also lists the same sequence under 1 other name.
GAGGGUAUAGCUCAGUGGUACAGCACAUGCUUGCAUACAUAAGGUUCUGAGUUCAAUCCCCAGUACCUCUA